Molecule: unclassified non-coding RNA, 226 nt
Filed under: Hevea brasiliensis (rubber tree)
Lineage: Eukaryota; Viridiplantae; Streptophyta; Magnoliopsida; Malpighiales; Euphorbiaceae
Source: RNAcentral
AAAGAAUCAUGUCAUUUCUCCCUCUACCAUUGUGGCUACCACUGUUGACUCUCCUAUCUCCAGCCGCCACCACCACUUGAACCACCUCCACACAAAAUCCCUUUCUCUCAUCAAAUCUUUGCCUUCUCUUCUGAUCCAAACUUCUCUCCUCCUUUCUCUGCUUCUCAUGUUCCUCUUCUCUCCACUAUCACUAAAAUGACGUUGACGUUGCCACUCCUAAAAUCGA